This is a ribosomal RNA of 437 nucleotides. It matches the Rfam family "Bacterial small subunit ribosomal RNA", at positions 341 to 792 of the family's 1533-position model.
ACGGGAGGCAGCAGUGGGGAAUAUUGGGCAAUGGACGAAAGUCUGACCCAGCGACGCCGCGUGAGGGAAGAAGAUCUUCGGAUUGUAAACCUUAGUCAACAGGGAAGAAUCAAGUGACGGUACCUGUGGAGGAAGCCACGGCUAACUACGUGCCAGCAGCCGCGGUAAUACGUAGGUGGCGAGCGUUAUCCGGAUUUACUGGGUGUAAAGGGUGUGUAGGCGGGAUUGCAAGUCAGAUGUGAAAACUGUCGGCUCAGCUGACAGCCUGCAUUUGAAACUGUAGUUCUUGAGUGUGGGAGAGGUAAGCGGAAUUCCCAGUGUAGCGGUAAAAUGCGUAGAUAUUGGGAGGAACACCAGUGGCGAAGGCGGCUUACUGGACAUUAACUGACGCUGAGGCGCGAAAGUGUGGGGAGCAAACAGGAUUAGAUACCCUGGUA